RNAcentral lists this transfer RNA (77 nucleotides) under Ralstonia phage RP13. RNAcentral describes it as "tRNA-Arg". It matches the Rfam family "tRNA". From Rfam's summary of the family: Transfer RNA (tRNA) molecules are approximately 80 nucleotides in length. Their secondary structure includes four short double-helical elements and three loops (D, anti-codon, and T loops). The record is from RNAcentral. Lineage: Duplodnaviria; Heunggongvirae; Uroviricota; Caudoviricetes.
CUGGCGUUAGCACAGUUGGAUAGUGCAACAGCCUUCUAAGCUGUAGGUCACUGGUUCGAAUCCAGUACGCCAGGCCA